RNAcentral lists this ribosomal RNA (467 nucleotides) under uncultured bacterium. Its description in RNAcentral is "partial 16S ribosomal RNA". It matches the Rfam family "Bacterial small subunit ribosomal RNA", at positions 28 to 506 of the family's 1533-position model. The record is from RNAcentral.
GACGAACGCUGGCGGCGUGCUUAACACAUGCAAGUCGAACGGAAAGGCCCUGCUUUUGUGGGGUGCUCGAGUGGCGAACGGGUGAGUAACACGUGAGUAACCUGCCCUUGACUUUGGGAUAACUUCAGGAAACUGGGGCUAAUACCGGAUAGGAGCUCCUGCUGCAUGGUGGGGGUUGGAAAGUUUCGGCGGUUGGGGAUGGACUCGCGGCUUAUCAGCUUGUUGGUGGGGUAGUGGCUUACCAAGGCUUUGACGGGUAGCCGGCCUGAGAGGGUGACCGGCCACAUUGGGACUGAGAUACGGCCCAGACUCCUACGGGAGGCAGCAGUGGGGAAUAUUGCACAAUGGGCGGAAGCCGGAUGCAGCAACGCCGCGUGCGGGAUGACGGCCUUCGGGUUGUAAACCGCUUUCGCCUGUGACGAAGCGUGAGUGACGGUAAUGGGGAAAGAAACACCGGCUAACUACGU